RNAcentral lists this ribosomal RNA (579 nucleotides) under uncultured bacterium. Its description in RNAcentral is "partial 16S ribosomal RNA". It matches the Rfam family "Bacterial small subunit ribosomal RNA", at positions 355 to 932 of the family's 1533-position model. The record is from RNAcentral.
UGGGGAAUUUUGGACAAUGGGCGAAAGCCUGAUCCAGCAAUGCCGCGUGUGUGAAGAAGGCCUUCGGGUUGUAAAGCACUUUUGUCCGGAAAGAAAUCCUUGGCUCUAAUACAGUCGGGGGAUGACGGUACCGGAAGAAUAAGCACCGGCUAACUACGUGCCAGCAGCCGCGGUAAUACGUAGGGUGCAAGCGUUAAUCGGAAUUACUGGGCGUAAAGCGUGCGCAGGCGGUUUGCUAAGACCGAUGUGAAAUCCCCGGGCUCAACCUGGGAACUGCAUUGGUGACUGGCAGGCUAGAGUAUGGCAGAGGGGGGUAGAAUUCCACGUGUAGCAGUGAAAUGCGUAGAGAUGUGGAGGAAUACCGAUGGCGAAGGCAGCCCCCUGGGCCAAUACUGACGCUCAUGCACGAAAGCGUGGGGAGCAAACAGGAUUAGAUACCCUGGUAGUCCACGCCCUAAACGAUGUCAGCUAGUUGUUGGGGAUUCAUUUCCUUAGUAACGUAGCUAACGCGUGAAGUUGACCGCCUGGGGAGUACGGUCGCAAGAUUAAAACUUAAAUGAAUUGACGGGGUCAUAGCUG